ACUGCCACCGGAGGACGCGAGCCUGCCCGCGUCAACCCGUUUCCGGUUCACUUUGCAGGGCUCGGCCGCCCUGCCGAAGCUGCUGCCGGGCCGCUUCAGGUGCGGCAUCGCCUCCUUCUCGCUCAGCAGGGUGCGCAGCUUCUUCUGCUCCUGCGCCAUGGAAAUCGCCACUUUCAGGUUCAUCGUUCAGAAUUCUCGUGAAACGGUACGGUCGCAGUGGUGUUUUGCUUACCCUGAGUCGCCUCCUCUCCUCUUCCUGCCUGAGCCUGGCUUGCUUGUGCUCCUCCAAGACGGCAACCAAGCGAGCCCCGUCGUACAGGAACGGCUUCUUUCUUUCGCUCUCCCAUGCGAGUGUACGGCUCAUCAGGCUGUCAACCACGGCUGCAGAUUUUACCGACAUCGAAUUAGAGUGUGAAGAACUUCAGAGAUGCAAUCGGAAUGACAAAACAGGAACCACAUCGCAUCUGGUGUUCUAUGAAAUGUACCCGGAAUCUUGGUGAUGAUAAGCCUCGCUUUCUCCGCGCGUUUCAAGUUGAGGCGUGCGAUCCUGCCGGUACUGAAUCUGUUCUCGUCCUGAAACAGAAGCAGUUUCCCCCCUUGUCUUUAUUAUCUGUCUUCCGCGUUUGAAACCAGUGUUCAAUGUAUCCAAAUCCAAAACCCACAUUUUGGACCUACCGUAUUGUACUCCUCCAGCCACUCCUCUUCCUCGCAGGCCAGCAGCCACUUGUUUAUCUUCUCCAUGAUCUCUUUCCUGGACUGGAGCUCCUCCCUGGCUUUCGCUAUCUGUUCGUCGAUGCUGGCCAUGAGCUCGGAAGGGUUCACGAGGCCUGGUAGAAUUUCGUCAGCGUUAGAAAAAAUGAAGCCAUCUGAACCAGAGUCGAUCAGUAAAGCAGGAACUGUGAACUGGUACCAGAGUCGAUCAGCGCAAUGGAUUUCUCCGGCACGGUGCUCGCAUCGGGCUCCACGUGCAUGCUCCUGCAAAUGCUCUCCAGCUCCAGCCGCCUCUUGAGCACGAGCUCCUUCAUCCGGCCGGCCUUGAGCCUCGUCAGCCUCUCCACCUCCUCCUCCGUCUGCGCCGCGCCGAAUCAUGAAACGACCAACAGAUCAAACGUCACUGCCACUGCGACCGCAACCGAACGAGUCCGGCAACAAAAGAGAGAGAGAUCUCAAUGCCGUGUGUAACUUGCAAAUGAUAGCGUUUAAGAAAAAAAUGGGUGGGUUUAUUUAUCCGUUGUUUAUUUUUCAAGUCGCCUCUCAAAAGACUGGAACGCACCAAGCCAUAUUCCGAAAAAAUAUCGAAGACCUGAUGUGGCCGACAGCACUAGCGCACGCGCCGUCCUACGUACACUGGCCGUCGGCCGUGCGUUGCACACCGCGCAGGCGCACACCGCCGCCGCCGCCUCGGCGCCCCAAUUCCAAACUUCAAAUGAUGACACAUGACAGCAUGGGCCGUAUCCUUCGCGUCACGCAGCGGAACGAGACCAGCCGUAGCAGGCUAGCAGCCCCCUUCGAAAAUAUGGAGACCGGCCAGGCCACCUCGCACGUCACACGUCAGGCCGACGUACGCUAACCGUCCCGUCCAACCCAACUCUGCGCGGUCGCGGAUGCGAAAUCGUGCACGGCAGGCGCGCCACUCCAAGAUCUGAAUCCUGCCCCCUGCCCGGCAAACCGUAGCCUGCCGGUGCCGGAAGAUAGAUAGAUAGAAUAGAAGAAGAGAAGAGAUGGUAUAAGCUCACCAAUUCUCUGAAUAAGAUAUUCUUUAACAAUAACAAUAGAAUAUUUUCGACACGAGUAACCCUCCAAAAAAUCUGUGUAAAAGGUAACACCGCUACAAAUUACAAUGGCACUCUAUAUACACACACGUGACAAGUCUUUGCUACUCGUGCGGUUUCGAGUUUACGACAGAGCUAGCGACGAGGACAUGCUGCGGCCCUUGGACACGGCGACGUAGUUGAACGGCGGCGCCGAGAGCCGCCUCGCACCCUUGAAGAACUCGCCGCACUGUCCCGCGCCCGCCGCCGAGGAACGCGGCCUGAUGAGCUCGGUUGCACUCGCACCACCACCACCGCUGCUGCUGCUGCUGGUGGUGGUGCCACUGCCACCGGAGGACGCGAGCCUGCCCGCGUCAACCCGUUUCCGGUUCACUUUGCAGGGCUCGGCCGCCCUGCCGAAGCUGCUGCCGGGCCGCUUCAGGUGCGGCAUCGCCUCCUUCUCGCUCAGCAGGGUGCGCAGCUUCUUCUGCUCCUGCGCCAUGGAAAUCGCCACUUCCAGGUUCAUCGUUCAGAAUCCUCGUGAAACGGUACGGUCGCAGUGGUGUUUUGCUUACCCUGAGUCGCCUCCUCUCCUCUUCCUGCCUGAGCCUGGCUUGCUUGUGCUCCUCCAAGACGGCAACCAAGCGAGCCCCGUCGUACAGGAAUGGCUUCUUUCUUUCGCUCUCCCAUGCGAGUGUACGGCUCAUCAGGCUGUCAAUCACGGCUGCAGAUUUUACCGACAUCGAAUUAGAGUCUGAAGAACUUCAGAGAUGCAAUCGGAAUGACAAAACAGGAACCACAUCGCAUCUGGUGUUCUAUGAAAUGUACCCGG
RNAcentral lists this long non-coding RNA (2583 nucleotides) under Zea mays. RNAcentral's name for it is "long non-coding RNA (ZMAY_LNC000110)". Lineage: Eukaryota; Viridiplantae; Streptophyta; Magnoliopsida; Poales; Poaceae. The record is from RNAcentral.